RNAcentral lists this ribosomal RNA (2049 nucleotides) under Escherichia coli. RNAcentral describes it as "partial 23S ribosomal RNA". It matches the Rfam family "Bacterial large subunit ribosomal RNA", at positions 776 to 2806 of the family's 2925-position model. Lineage: Bacteria; Pseudomonadati; Pseudomonadota; Gammaproteobacteria; Enterobacterales; Enterobacteriaceae. The record is from RNAcentral.
GAACCGACUAAUGUUGAAAAAUUAGCGGAUGACUUGUGGCUGGGGGUGAAAGGCCAAUCAAACCGGGAGAUAGCUGGUUCUCCCCGAAAGCUAUUUAGGUAGCGCCUCGUGAAUUCAUCUCCGGGGGUAGAGCACUGUUUCGGCAAGGGGGUCAUCCCGACUUACCAACCCGAUGCAAACUGCGAAUACCGGAGAAUGUUAUCACGGGAGACACACGGCGGGUGCUAACGUCCGUCGUGAAGAGGGAAACAACCCAGACCGCCAGCUAAGGUCCCAAAGUCAUGGUUAAGUGGGAAACGAUGUGGGAAGGCCCAGACAGCCAGGAUGUUGGCUUAGAAGCAGCCAUCAUUUAAAGAAAGCGUAAUAGCUCACUGGUCGAGUCGGCCUGCGCGGAAGAUGUAACGGGGCUAAACCAUGCACCGAAGCUGCGGCAGCGACACUAUGUGUUGUUGGGUAGGGGAGCGUUCUGUAAGCCUGUGAAGGUGGCCUGUGAGGGUUGCUGGAGGUAUCAGAAGUGCGAAUGCUGACAUAAGUAACGAUAAAGCGGGUGAAAAGCCCGCUCGCCGGAAGACCAAGGGUUCCUGUCCAACGUUAAUCGGGGCAGGGUGAGUCGACCCCUAAGGCGAGGCCGAAAGGCGUAGUCGAUGGGAAACAGGUUAAUAUUCCUGUACUUGGUGUUACUGCGAAGGGGGGACGGAGAAGGCUAUGUUGGCCGGGCGACGGUUGUCCCGGUUUAAGCGUGUAGGCUGGUUUUCCAGGCAAAUCCGGAAAACCAAGGCUGAGGCGUGAUGACGAGGCACUACGGUGCUGAAGCGACAAAUGCCCUGCUUCCAGGAAAAGCCUCUAAGCAUCAGGUAACAUCAAAUCGUACCCCAAACCGACACAGGUGGUCAGGUAGAGAAUACCAAGGCGCUUGAGAGAACUCGGGUGAAGGAACUAGGCAAAAUGGUGCCGUAACUUCGGGAGAAGGCACGCUGAUAUGUAGGUGAAGCGACUUGCUCGUGGAGCUGAAAUCAGUCGAAGAUACCAGCUGGCUGCAACUGUUUAUUAAAAACACAGCACUGUGCAAACACGAAAGUGGACGUAUACGGUGUGACGCCUGCCCGGUGCCGGAAGGUUAAUUGAUGGGGUUAGCGGUAACGCGAAGCUCUUGAUCGAAGCCCCGGUAAACGGCGGCCGUAACUAUAACGGUCCUAAGGUAGCGAAAUUCCUUGUCGGGUAAGUUCCGACCUGCACGAAUGGCGUAAUGAUGGCCAGGCUGUCUCCACCCGAGACUCAGUGAAAUUGAACUCGCUGUGAAGAUGCAGUGUACCCGCGGCAAGACGGAAAGACCCCGUGAACCUUUACUAUAGCUUGACACUGAACAUUGAGCCUUGAUGUGUAGGAUAGGUGGGAGGCUUUGAAGUGUGGACGCCAGUCUGCAUGGAGCCGACCUUGAAAUACCACCCUUUAAUGUUUGAUGUUCUAACGUUGGCCCGUAAUCCGGGUUGCGGACAGUGUCUGGUGGGUAGUUUGACUGGGGCGGUCUCCUCCUAAAGAGUAACGGAGGAGCACGAAGGUUGGCUAAUCCUGGUCGGACAUCAGGAGGUUAGUGCAAUGGCAUAAGCCAGCUUGACUGCGAGCGUGACGGCGCGAGCAGGUGCGAAAGCAGGUCAUAGUGAUCCGGUGGUUCUGAAUGGAAGGGCCAUCGCUCAACGGAUAAAAGGUACUCCGGGGAUAACAGGCUGAUACCGCCCAAGAGUUCAUAUCGACGGCGGUGUUUGGCACCUCGAUGUCGGCUCAUCACAUCCUGGGGCUGAAGUAGGUCCCAAGGGUAUGGCUGUUCGCCAUUUAAAGUGGUACGCGAGCUGGGUUUAGAACGUCGUGAGACAGUUCGGUCCCUAUCUGCCGUGGGCGCUGGAGAACUGAGGGGGGCUGCUCCUAGUACGAGAGGACCGGAGUGGACGCAUCACUGGUGUUCGGGUUGUCAUGCCAAUGGCACUGCCCGGUAGCUAAAUGCGGAAGAGAUAAGUGCUGAAAGCAUCUAAGCACGAAACUUGCCCCGAGAUG